Molecule: ribosomal RNA, 253 nt
Filed under: uncultured bacterium
Lineage: Bacteria
Description: partial 16S ribosomal RNA
Rfam family: Bacterial small subunit ribosomal RNA
Source: RNAcentral
UACGUAGGGACCGAGCGUUGUCCGGAUUUAUUGGGCGUAAAGAGCGUGUAGGCGGCCAGGUAGGUCUGCUGUGAAAACUCGAGGCUUAACCUCGAGCUGUCGGCGGAAACCAUCCGGCUAGAGUCCGGAAGAGGAGAAUGGAAUUCCCGGUGUAGCGGUGAAAUGCGCAGAUAUCGGGAAGAACACCCGUGGCGAAGGCGGUUCUCUGGGACGGUACUGACGCUGAGACGCGAAAGCGUGGGGAGCGAACAGG